This 546-nucleotide ribosomal RNA is filed under the name Montagnula graminicola. Its description in RNAcentral is "SSU rRNA". It matches the Rfam family "Eukaryotic small subunit ribosomal RNA", at positions 106 to 655 of the family's 1831-position model. The record is from RNAcentral. Lineage: Eukaryota; Fungi; Ascomycota; Dothideomycetes; Pleosporales; Didymosphaeriaceae.
UCAGUUAUCGUUUAUUUGAUAGUACCUUACUACUUGGAUAACCGUGGUAAUUCUAGAGCUAAUACAUGCUAAAAACCCCAACUUCGGGAGGGGUGUAUUUAUUAGAUAAAAAACCAAUGCCCUUCGGGGCUCCUUGGUGAUUCAUGAUAACUUCUCAGAUCGCAUAGCCUUGAGCUGGCGACGGUUCAUUCAAAUUUCUGCCCUAUCAACUUUCGAUGGUAAGGUAGUGGCUUACCAUGGUUGCAACGGGUAACGGGGAAUUAGGGUUCGAUUCCGGAGAGGGAGCCUGAGAAACGGCUACCACAUCCAAGGAAGGCAGCAGGCGCGCAAAUUACCCAAUUCCGAUACGGAGAGGUAGUGACAAUAAAUACUGAUACAGGGCUCUUUUGGGUCUUGUAAUUGGAAUGAGUACAAUUUAAACCUCUUAACGAGGAACAAUUGGAGGGCAAGUCUGGUGCCAGCAGCCGCGGUAAUUCCAGCUCCAAUAGCGUAUAUUAAAGUUGUUGCAGUUAAAAAGCUCGUAGUUGAACCUUUGGCCUGGCUGGC